Molecule: long non-coding RNA, 2483 nt
Filed under: Olea europaea subsp. europaea
Lineage: Eukaryota; Viridiplantae; Streptophyta; Magnoliopsida; Lamiales; Oleaceae
Source: RNAcentral
GAAGUGUGGUACAGCAAGCUUCCUCCCCUAAGCAUUAGAAGUUGGGCAGAUUUGAAGAAGACAUUCUUGAAUCAGUACCUCUCGCGAAGGGAAGGAGAGGCCCCAGUGCAAUGCCUGCAAGACAUGAGGCAAGCCCCUGGAGAGACGCUGAAAAGCUAUCUUGCCAGAUUUACGGACAAAAUCACACACUACGAACAGGUCACCGACAGAUAAGCCCUUCCAUGCCUGAAAGGUGACUUCAACAUGAACACUUUGUUCUGGAGGGAUGUGUGCAGCAAGAAUCCCUCCACCUAUGACGAAAUCGUGGAAAUGAUUAGAGUUGAAAUCGUGAGUAAAGAAAUAAUUGAUCACCGAAACUUUGCCGCGCAGGGACUCCCUCCUCCUGAGAGGUAGGUAGGUCGAGAACCCGUAGCACACCUUGUUACUCAACAAUAGAUUCAGGCAGGACACACAAUAGCUCCCACCCCCGGGCAGGCAUUGGCUUCCGCCACACUAAAUGCAGUGCCGAUAUUGGCAUAUGAAAAUGCUACUGGCAAAGCGAGGCCAUCAGGAAGAAACGAUAGCACGAAAAAGAAGAAGAAUCGAUCAAACAGGCCCUUGGAAGGAGCAAGGUUUUGCACUUUCCAUCAACUCUAUGGGCAUGACACCAACGAAUGCAGAGACGCUCCUCGACGUUCAGACCAGAGUGAGCCACAUCCCUUCAGGAGGAAUGAAUAUCCUCACAGAUUAGUCUCCCCAAACAUGGGAGAUCGAAGGCACAGAGAACAGUCACCCUGGAGAAGAGAAUCAAGGGACCAAGGGGAGUCCAUGCAAAGAGAUCAGGCCCCAUUUUCUGGGGGCCAAAUCAUCAGGAAAAUCGACACCAUCAUUGGGGGACCUCACAUCGAUGGCAACACCAGGAAUGCCCAAAGAAAUUAUACAAGGGAAGCAAAGGACCCCACCAAUGAUCACUUACAUUGUCAAUGAGUCCCAAGAGGCUAACAGAAUGGCCCCAAUAACCUUCUCCCAGGAAGAUGCGCAAGGAGUUCACCAUCCCCAUUGCGUCGCAUUGGUUGUGAGAGCCAUAGUAGCCAGAAACGGGCUCAAACGCAUGCUCGUUGACAAUGGCAGCUCGGUGAACAUAUUGUUCGGCUCCACCUUUGACAAAAUGCAAAUUGAGCAUGGGUUGAUCCCCAUGACCGACCCACUAUUCGGGUUUACUGGGGACAACAUCGUCCCACAUGGGCGGAUCACUCUGCCGGUCGAGAUGGGUUCGACACCCCUAGUGGCCCAACACUUCAUAGAAUUCUUAGUGGUAGACCAUAGAUCGGCCUAUCAUAGAGUAUUGGGCAGACCCGCCUUAAAAGAUUUUUGGGCCGUCACAUCCAUCCACUACUUGUGCAUGAAAUUCCCAACUGAACAUGGGAUUGCAACGAUCCGAGGCGAUUAGAUGGGCUCCAGGGCAUGCUACUUAAACUCCCUGCGAAAGUCGAAGCCCCAAACUGUUAAUGUAAUCCUAACUGAGGUUCCUACUGAAAUUGGUACAGACGUGGAAAUGCUCGACGCUCUUGAACAAGGGCAGACCUCUGAACAAGAGGAAGACGUCGACAUGGAAGAGGCCCCUGAACAAGGGCACACUUUUGAUGAGUUAGAUCCCCGAAUAAUUGACUCUGAACCAAACGCAACCAUAAUGGAAGAACUAAAAACUUUCUCCGCCAACCUAGAUGACCCCAGUCAGGUCUUGCAUAUAGGAAAGGCACUGUCCCCCGAAGCAAAAGAAGAGAUGAUAAGCUUCCUGAAAGAAACUUGGAUGUCUUCGCUUGGAAGCUUGAAGACAUGGUAGGUAUAGAUCCAAGGAUCAGUUGCCACCAUCUUAACAUCAACCCCUCUUGUGCCCUCCAUCGACAGAAGAGACGUGCCCUCAACCCGGAGAGGUACGAGGCAUUGAAAGAAUAAGUGAACAAACUUAGCCGUAGCAGUUUUAUAAGGGAAGCCAUCUACCCGAAGUGGAUAUCCAACCCGGUCCUGGUGAAAAAGCACAGCGGAAAGUUUAGGGUGUGCGUAGACUUCACAAACUUGAAUAAGGCGUGCCCUAAAGAUAGCUUCCCACUUCCAAGGAUAGAUCAACUUGUAGAUUCCACUGCUGGACACGAACUGCUGAGUUUCAUGGAUGCAUACUCAGGUUACAACCAGAUACCCCUGUUCCGACCUGAUGAGGAAGCUACGUCGUUUAUCAGCCAUGCAGUGAUUCGACUGUCCUUGUACUAGAACUCCAUGUAGAAUAGAAGAGAGUUAUUAGUUAUCCAAAUAGAGGUCAUGUCUACAUCAACAACUUAAUCCAUCUUAGACUAGACCUCAUAUCAAUCUGUAAUUCACUUGAUAUCGUGUCAAUAAAAUCUGCUUGUAUGCACCCUGUCAGCACAAUAAGUUCAAAUGUAUUUGAACCACAAUUAAUGAACAUAGUGACAGUCUUCAUAUCUGCAUCCAACGCACAUAUAGGAAUU